GACGAACGCUGGCGGCGUGCUUAAUACAUGCAAGUCGAACGGAAAGGCCCUGCUUUUGUGGGGUGCUCGAUUGGCGAACGGGUGAGUAACACGUGAGUAACCUGCCCUUGACUUUGUGAUAACUUCAGGAAACUGGGGCUAAUACCGGAUAUGAGCUCCUGCUGCAUGGUGGGGGUUGGAAAGUUUCGGCGGUUGGGGAUGGACUCGCGGCGUAUCAGCUUGUUGGUGGGGUAGUGGCUUACCAAGGCUUUGACGGGUAGCCGGCCUGAGAGGGUGACCGGCCACAUUGGGACUGAGCUACGGCCCAGACUCCUACGGGCGGCAGCAGUGGGAAAUAUUGCACAAUGAGCGCACGCCUGAUGCAGCAACGCCGCGUGCGGGAUGAAGGGCUUCGAGUUGUAAACCGCUUUCGCCUGUGACGAAGCGUGCGUGACGGUAAUGGGUAAAGAAGCACCGGCUAACUACGUG
This 468-nucleotide ribosomal RNA is filed under the name uncultured bacterium. RNAcentral's name for it is "partial 16S ribosomal RNA". It matches the Rfam family "Bacterial small subunit ribosomal RNA", at positions 28 to 507 of the family's 1533-position model. The record is from RNAcentral.